Molecule: ribosomal RNA, 377 nt
Filed under: uncultured bacterium
Lineage: Bacteria
Description: bacterial SSU rRNA
Rfam family: Bacterial small subunit ribosomal RNA
Source: RNAcentral
AUACGUAGGUGGCAAGCGUUAUCCGGAUUCAUUGGGCGUAAAGCGCGCGUAGGUGGUCCUUCAAGUCAGAUGUGAAAUCUCCCGGCUUAACUGGGAGCGGUCAUCUGAUACUGCUGGACUUGAGGAUGGUAGAGGGAGGUGGAAUUCCCGGUGUAGUGGUGAAAUGCGUAGAUAUCGGGAGGAACACCAGUGGCGAAAGCGGCCUCCUAGGCCAUACCUGACACUGAGGCGCGAAAGCGUGGGGAGCGAACAGGAUCAGAUACCCUGGUAGUCCACGCCAUAAACUGUGGAAACUAGGUACAGGGAGUAUCGACCCUUCCUGCGCCGUAGCUAACGCGUUAAGUUUCCCGCCUGGGGACUACGGUCGCAAGACUAAA